AGAGUUUGAUCCUGGCUCAGAAUGAACGUUGGCGGCGUGGAUUAGGCAUGCAAGUCGAGCGCUAAACGUAGCAAUACGUGGUGAGCGGCGAAAGGGAGAGUAAUACACAGGUACCUACCCCCGGGCCUGGGAUAGCGGCGGGAAACUGCCGGUAAUACCAGAUAACGUCUCCGGACCAAAGGUGCAAUUUCACCUGGGGAGGGGCCUGUGGCCUAUCAGCUUGUUGGUGAGGUAACGGCUUACCAAGGCUAAAACGGGUAUGGGGCGUGAGAGCGUGCCCCCACUCACUGGGACUGAGACACUGCCCAGACACCUACGGGUGGCUGCAGUCGAGAAUCUUCGGCAAUGGGCGCAAGCCUGACCGAGCGACGCCGCGUGCGGGAUGAAGGCCUUCGGGUUGUAAACCGCUGUCGUAGGGGAGGAAGGGCCUGUGAAGAACAGGACUGACCGAUCCUAGAGAAG
Molecule: ribosomal RNA, 462 nt
Filed under: uncultured Pirellula sp.
Lineage: Bacteria; Pseudomonadati; Planctomycetota; Planctomycetia; Pirellulales; Pirellulaceae
Description: bacterial SSU rRNA
Rfam family: Bacterial small subunit ribosomal RNA
Source: RNAcentral